GGAGACCGGCGACGCUCUCCGCCGCGACCGAAAGUCUCACACGCCCUGAGCAGAUGAACCGGUCCCUCGGUCCGGUCUGCCCUCCCGCACCGGCGCCUUUGGGCUCAGCGGGCCAGUGGCCAGAUGGCGAGAGUAAAUUGGGGGAAUUUCUUUCGUUUCCAUCGAACCCCACACUACGUCUACUCUUUCGGCUUUCUCAGCCGUUGUCCCCCAACUCUUGUUUCUUUUUCACGUCUUGUCCCCCACCCCAUUUUUCUUCUUCCAUAUUAUCCAGGUUCUGGAUCUCAUCAGCUUUGUCCUCGUCACCCCUCUGGGAGUUCAGCCUCCUAAGGCUGUGAAACAGCCCAAAAGGCCCGGACACGCUACUCCAAAACGUCUCUCCUGGGCUGUGUGAACAAUAAGAGCUAUUUGGGGACGACAGGAAAAGAUAUGGCCCAUAGAAGGGCUCCUGAAAUCUAACCUUGCGACUCUUUAAAAGUUUCUUGUCCCUUGUGGAAAAGGUGCCGUUUUGGUUUUGGGGAAUGGGAGGUCCCUUCAGACAAUUCAUUUUAGCCAAACCCUCGCUUUUGAGAAGGGGAAGAAAUGGGAUUAUUGUAACACCAUACAGUACUAAUUUCAAAAUAAAUCAUCUAGAAUAGAGGAGAGAGAGAGUCCCCAAA
RNAcentral lists this long non-coding RNA (659 nucleotides) under Homo sapiens (human). Its description in RNAcentral is "RC3H1 divergent transcript (RC3H1-DT)". The record is from RNAcentral. Lineage: Eukaryota; Metazoa; Chordata; Mammalia; Primates; Hominidae.